RNAcentral lists this ribosomal RNA (500 nucleotides) under uncultured bacterium. RNAcentral's name for it is "partial 16S ribosomal RNA". It matches the Rfam family "Bacterial small subunit ribosomal RNA", at positions 30 to 523 of the family's 1533-position model. The record is from RNAcentral.
AUUGAACGCUGGCGGCAUGCCUUACACAUGCAAGUCGAACGGCAGCACGGGAGCAAUCCUGGUGGCGAGUGGCGAACGGGUGAGUAAUAUAUCGGAACGUGCCCAGUCGUGGGGGAUAACGCAGCGAAAGCUGUGCUAAUACCGCAUACGAUCUACGGAUGAAAGCGGGGGAUCGCAAGACCUCGCGCGAUUGGAGCGGCCGACAUCAGCUUAGCUAGUUGGUGGGGUAAAAGCCCACCAAGGCGACGAUCUGUAGCUGGUCUGAGAGGACGACCAGCCACACUGGAACUGAGACACGGUCCAGACUCCUACGGGAGGCAGCAGUGGGGAAUUUUGGACAAUGGGCACAAGCCUGAUCCAGCAAUGCCGCGUGCAGGAUGAAGGCCUUCGGGUUGUAAACUGCUUUUGUACGGAACGAAACGGCUCUUUCUAAUAAAGAGGGCUAAUGACGGUACCGUAAGAAUAAGCACCGGCUAACUACGUGCCAGCCGCCGCAGUAA